CUGGCCGGCAGCCUACACAUGCAAGUCGAACGGUAGCACAGAGAGCUUGCUCUCGGGUGACGAGUGGCGGACGGGUGAGUAAUGUCUGGGAAACUGCCUGAUGGAGGGGGAUAACUACUGGAAACGGUAGCUAAUACCGCAUAAUGUCGCAAGACCAAAGAGGGGGACCUUCGGGCCUCUUGCCAUCAGAUGUGCCCAGAUGGGAUUAGCUAGUAGGUGGGGUAACGGCUCACCUAGGCGACGAUCCCUAGCUGGUCUGAGAGGAUGACCAGCCACACUGGAACUGAGACACGGUCCAGACUCCUACGGGAGGCAGCAGUGGGGAAUAUUGCACAAUGGGCGCAAGCCUGAUGCAGCCAUGCCGCGUGUAUGAAGAAGGCCUUCGGGUUGUAAAGUACUUUCAGCGGGGAGGAAGGUGUUGUGGUUAAUAACCACAGCAAUUGACGUUACCCGCAGAAGAAGCACCGGCUUACUCCGUGCCAGCAGCCGCGGUAAUACGGAGGGUGCAAGCGUUUAUCGGAAUUACUGGGCGUAAAGCGCACGCAGGCGGUCUGUCAAGUCGGAUGUGAAAUCCCCGGGCUCAACCUGGGAACUGCAUUCGAAACUGGCAGGCUGGAGUCUUGUAGAGGGGGGUAGAAUUCCAGGUGUAGCGGUGAAAUGCGUAGAGAUCUGGAGGAAUACCGGUGGCGAAGGCGGCCCCCUGGACAAAGACUGACGCUCAGGUGCGAAAGCGUGGGGAGCAAACAGGAUUAGAUACCCUGGUAGUCCACGCCGUAAACGAUGUCGAUUUGGAGGUUGUGCCCUUGAGGCGUGGCUUCCGGAGCUAACGCGUUAAAUCGACCGCCUGGGGAGUACGGCCGCAAGGUUAAAACUCAAAUGAAUUGACGGGGGCCCGCACAAGCGGUGGAGCAUGUGGUUUAAUUCGAUGCAACGCGAAGAACCUUACCUGGUCUUGACAUCCACAGAACUUUCCAGAGAUGGAUUGGUGCCUUCGGGAACUGUGAGACAGGUGCUGCAUGGCUGUCGUCAGCUCGUGUUGUGAAAUGUUGGGUUAAGUCCCGCAACGAGCGCAACCCUUAUCCUUUGUUGCCAGCGGUUAGGCCGGGAACUCAAAGGAGACUGCCAGUGAUAAACUGGAGGAAGGUGGGGAUGACGUCAAGUCAUCAUGGCCCUUACGACCAGGGCUACACACGUGCUACAAUGGCGCAUACAAAGAGAAGCGACCUCGCGAGAGCAAGCGGACCUCAUAAAGUGCGUCGUAGUCCGGAUUGGAGUCUGCAACUCGACUCCAUGAAGUCGGAAUCGCUAGUAAUCGUAGAUCAGAAUGCUACGGUGAAUACGUUCCCGGGCCUUGUACACACCGCCCGUCACACCAUGGGAGUGGGUUGCAAAAGAAGUAGGUAGC
This 1405-nucleotide ribosomal RNA is filed under the name Enterobacter cloacae subsp. cloacae. RNAcentral describes it as "bacterial SSU rRNA". It matches the Rfam family "Bacterial small subunit ribosomal RNA". Lineage: Bacteria; Pseudomonadati; Pseudomonadota; Gammaproteobacteria; Enterobacterales; Enterobacteriaceae. The record is from RNAcentral.